AAACACCGCUGUGUGGCCAGGCGGCCACCUGUAUGGCAGCGCAGUCACUUUCCCAAAAAAUAACUAGCACUGCCAGUAAGCUAAGUUAGGGGUCAGUCACAAGCCAACCUUCGUGGAAGAAGCACCUCGAGACCUCUACUUUCCUCUCAAAUUUUGGAGAACGUAAUGGAACCUGUGAACUGGACCAAGAUUAAUGCAUUCUCUCCGUCAUAAGGUGCUGUAGCCUCUUUUUUUUUUUUUUUUUUUUUUUCUU
Molecule: long non-coding RNA, 253 nt
Organism: Macrobrachium nipponense
Lineage: Eukaryota; Metazoa; Arthropoda; Malacostraca; Decapoda; Palaemonidae
Exons: 2
Source: RefSeq, a predicted model, not a curated record